RNAcentral lists this ribosomal RNA (269 nucleotides) under uncultured bacterium. Its description in RNAcentral is "partial 16S ribosomal RNA". It matches the Rfam family "Bacterial small subunit ribosomal RNA", at positions 793 to 1055 of the family's 1533-position model. The record is from RNAcentral.
GUCUUGGCCGUAAACGAUGAGUACUGGGCGGGAGGGGUUCCGUUUCUUGCCGUAGCGAAGACGUUAAGUACUCCGCCUGGGGAGGUAUGGUCGGCAAGGCUGAAACUACAAAGGAAAUUGACGGGGGCGUCACACAAGCGGUGGAUGAUGUGGCUUAAUUCGAGGCAACGCGAAGAACCUUAUCCUGGACUUGACAUGCAUGGAUUAACCCAGUGAAAGCUGGGCCACGCCUUCGGGUGGAACAUGCACAGGUGCUGCAUGGCUGUCGU